Molecule: ribosomal RNA, 497 nt
Filed under: uncultured bacterium
Lineage: Bacteria
Description: partial 16S ribosomal RNA
Rfam family: Bacterial small subunit ribosomal RNA
Source: RNAcentral
GAUGAACGCUGGCGGCGUGCCUAAUACAUGCAAGUCGAGCGAACGGACGAGAAGCUUGCUUCUCUGAUGUUAGCGGCGGACGGGUGAGUAACACGUGGAUAACCUACCUAUAAGACUGGGAUAACUUCGGGAAACCGGAGCUAAUACCGGAUAAUAUUUUGAACCGCAUGGUUCAAAAGUGAAAGACGGUCUUGCUGUCACUUAUAGAUGGAUCCGCGCUGCAUUAGCUAGUUGGUAAGGUAACGGCUUACCAAGGCAACGAUGCAUAGCCGACCUGAGAGGGUGAUCGGCCACACGGGAACUGAGACACGGUCCAGACUCCUACGGGAGGCAGCAGUAGGGAAUCUUCCGCAAUGGGCGAAAGCAUGACGGAGCAACGCCGCGUGAGUGAUGAAGGUCUUCGGAUCGUAAAACUCGGUUAUUAGGGAAGAACAUAUGUGUAAGUAACUGUGCACAUCUUGACGGUACCUAAUCAGAAAGCCACGGCUAACUACGUG